This 253-nucleotide ribosomal RNA is filed under the name uncultured bacterium. RNAcentral's name for it is "partial 16S ribosomal RNA". It matches the Rfam family "Bacterial small subunit ribosomal RNA", at positions 524 to 776 of the family's 1533-position model. The record is from RNAcentral.
GACGGAGGGUGCGAGCGUUGUUCGGAUUGACUGGGCGUAAAGGGCGUGUAGGCGGUCGGCCAAGUCUGGUGUGAAAGCCCGGGGCUCAGCUCCGGAAGUGCGCCGGAAACUAGCUGGCUGGAGCGCGGUAGAGGAGGGUGGAAUUCCUGGUGUAGCGGUGAAAUGCGUAGAUAUCGGGAGGAACACCAAUUGCGAAGGCAGCUCGCUGGGACGUCACUGACGCUGAGACGCGAAAGCGUGGGGAGCAAACAGG